UGAGUUACUGAUUGUUGUUUAAUGCAG
RNAcentral lists this small RNA (27 nucleotides) under Arabidopsis thaliana (thale cress). Its description in RNAcentral is "ATSL301210". The record is from RNAcentral. Lineage: Eukaryota; Viridiplantae; Streptophyta; Magnoliopsida; Brassicales; Brassicaceae.